UACGUAGGGAGCAAGCGUUGUCCGGAAUCAUUGGGCGUAAAGCGCGCGUAGGUGGCCCCGUAAGUCCGCUGUGAAAGUCAAAGGCUCAACCUUUGAAAGCCGGUGGAUACUGUGGGACUAGAGUACGGAAGAGGCGAGUGGAAUUCCUGGUGUAGCGGUGGAAUGCGCAGAUAUCUGGAGGAACACCGGUGGCGAAGGCGGCAUCCUGGACCGGCAUUGACGCUGAGGCGCGAAAGCCAGGGGAGCAAACGGG
Molecule: ribosomal RNA, 253 nt
Filed under: uncultured bacterium
Lineage: Bacteria
Description: partial 16S ribosomal RNA
Rfam family: Bacterial small subunit ribosomal RNA
Source: RNAcentral